This 1552-nucleotide ribosomal RNA is filed under the name Cutibacterium sp. RNAcentral describes it as "bacterial SSU rRNA". It matches the Rfam family "Bacterial small subunit ribosomal RNA". The record is from RNAcentral. Lineage: Bacteria; Bacillati; Actinomycetota; Actinomycetes; Propionibacteriales; Propionibacteriaceae.
CCUACCGUGACACCCUCCAGGAAAGUACCUCUGAUAGAGUUUGAUCAUGGCUCAGGACGAACGCUGGCGGCGUGCUUAACACAUGCAAGUCGAACGGAAAGGCCCUGCUUUUGUGGGGUGCUCGAGUGGCGAACGGGUGAGUAACACGUGAGUAACCUGCCCUUGACUUUGGGAUAACUUCAGGAAACUGGGGCUAAUACCGGAUAGGAGCUCCUGCUGCAUGGUGGGGGUUGGAAAGUUUCGGCGGUUGGGGAUGGACUCGCGGCUUAUCAGCUUGUUGGUGGGGUAGUGGCUUACCAAGGCUUUGACGGGUAGCCGGCCUGAGAGGGUGACCGGCCACAUUGGGACUGAGAUACGGCCCAGACUCCUACGGGAGGCAGCAGUGGGGAAUAUUGCACAAUGGGCGGAAGCCUGAUGCAGCAACGCCGCGUGCGGGAUGACGGCCUUCGGGUUGUAAACCGCUUUCGCCUGUGACGAAGCGUGAGUGACGGUAAUGGGUAAAGAAGCACCGGCUAACUACGUGCCAGCAGCCGCGGUGAUACGUAGGGUGCGAGCGUUGUCCGGAUUUAUUGGGCGUAAAGGGCUCGUAGGUGGUUGAUCGCGUCGGAAGUGUAAUCUUGGGGCUUAACCCUGAGCGUGCUUUCGAUACGGGUUGACUUGAGGAAGGUAGGGGAGAAUGGAAUUCCUGGUGGAGCGGUGGAAUGCGCAGAUAUCAGGAGGAACACCAGUGGCGAAGGCGGUUCUCUGGGCCUUUCCUGACGCUGAGGAGCGAAAGCGUGGGGAGCGAACAGGCUUAGAUACCCUGGUAGUCCACGCUGUAAACGGUGGGUACUAGGUGUGGGGUCCAUUCCACGGGUUCCGUGCCGUAGCUAACGCUUUAAGUACCCCGCCUGGGGAGUACGGCCGCAAGGCUAAAACUCAAAGGAAUUGACGGGGCCCCGCACAAGCGGCGGAGCAUGCGGAUUAAUUCGAUGCAACGCGUAGAACCUUACCUGGGUUUGACAUGGAUCGGGAGUGCUCAGAGAUGGGUGUGCCUCUUUUGGGGUCGGUUCACAGGUGGUGCAUGGCUGUCGUCAGCUCGUGUCGUGAGAUGUUGGGUUAAGUCCCGCAACGAGCGCAACCCUUGUUCACUGUUGCCAGCACGUUAUGGUGGGGACUCAGUGGAGACCGCCGGGGUCAACUCGGAGGAAGGUGGGGAUGACGUCAAGUCAUCAUGCCCCUUAUGUCCAGGGCUUCACGCAUGCUACAAUGGCUGGUACAGAGAGUGGCGAGCCUGUGAGGGUGAGCGAAUCUCGGAAAGCCGGUCUCAGUUCGGAUUGGGGUCUGCAACUCGACCUCAUGAAGUCGGAGUCGCUAGUAAUCGCAGAUCAGCAACGCUGCGGUGAAUACGUUCCCGGGGCUUGUACACACCGCCCGUCAAGUCAUGAAAGUUGGUAACACCCGAAGCCGGUGGCCUAACCGUUGUGGGGGAGCCGUCGAAGGUGGGACUGGUGAUUAGGACUAAGUCGUAACAAGGUAACCGAUCAGAGGUACUUUCCUGGAGGGUGUCACG